AUGAAAACCAAAGUGCCUGUCAGGCAGGGGGCAAGGACAGAAGAGAAACGCCCCCGCUCCCAGGGCCGGGUGAGAGACUGUGGGGACCAGCUCAGGGACCCCCACCCAGAGGGGCCGCCACUUCCACGGGGAAUGCUGGUCGGAGUGGGCUCUGGACCUUCCCGCGUGAGGAGACGACAGGAGCCCAGGCCUUACGUGGCCUCUCUGCCUCCAAACCCGGGCCGCCGGCUCCCUGCACAGGCUGGGGCGGCGUGGGGCGGGCGGAAGAGCCCGAUCCCUCUGCGGCCGGCCUGCUUGAUUCGGGCCCAGCGGACCCUGACCCUGGCCCUGGAGGCCGCUGCGGCCCCCACCCAGCUCCUCAGCAGCCACAUGGCUGCCGGCCCUCACACCCCAGGGCGGCGCACAGGGCCUGGGCCUGACGACGUCCUUAGGGUCCCUGAGCAGCCGGGUCCUCACGGCCCUCGGCGACCCGGGGUCCCCGGGAUGGAGCGAGGCUCUGGGCCUUCAGCAGACGCCGGGGCCCCAGACAGCCCUGACCCGAGCUCCAGAGACAUCCGAGCCCAGGCUCCGAGAGAACCACCCCCGGCCGGGUGCGUCCGAGUCAGUGCUCCCCCGAAGGCGGGGACGUCGGGCGAGAAGCAACUGCAAGGACUCGCGGGAAGAAGCCACCGGGAAUCAUGGCGGCCGCGCUCGGAGGGACGGCUUUGCACGAGACCAUGGGCUGGAAGACCCAGGAGUGGAUGCUUUUGCCCCAACGAUGGCUGUCACCCAGAAUCCCAUGGGGCCGCCACCCUCCAGCAGCUGAGAGGGACCUGGUGGAGAAUCAUAACCUUCCCUACCAUCCAGCACCUAAGAGGUGGCUCUGCUGGUGGGAGAAUCACAACUUUCCGCCUGCUCCCGACACAGGUGGCUAAUGCGGAAUCCUGGUCAACAAAGUCUGCAGCCCUGCAGCCUGCUGCGAUGUUUGCUGAGCAGCAGACACAGGUGAAGAGUUGCUCUGAUAACGCCCUGAUCUGCUGCAGCUGUAGGUGAAGGAGCAGCUUAGGAUAGAAAUCAAGAUAAGAGCAACAAACCCAGGCUCCCGCGAGAAGCCAGUGGGUGUCCAACUUGAGGGCGGAGGAAGGCCCCGCACUGCCUGGACAAGGACUGACUGCGGCAAAUUCACUCCGGGGCUGGGCGUCCACGUCCAGCCAGAACACGAUCUUGCCGGGGUGCGCCGCUCACCCAGGCCCCGCCGUCCGCGCCGUGAGGGUGCUCAGCUCUGCGUGGCUUGACUGUGGGCCCUCAGGUGUCCUUGUCCAGGGCUCAGCCUCCCCAUCCUCUGCAGCGGGGACAUUCUAAGUGAGUGUCUUGUUUAAAAAACAAAGGUGGUAAAAACUGGAGUGUGAGAGGUUAACAAGUUGGCUCCUGCUUUACUACGGGGGGUCCCUGGCAGCUCCUCUGUUGAAGGACGCAUGGGGCAUCUGUGCCGCUCUCGUAGGGACGUUUCCAGGGCCUUGUGUGACUGUGUUCACGUCUGCCCCUCUCACCUCUGAGCUCCUCCCCACCGCGCUUGUGAGUGGAGCAGCCCAGGAGACUGUAUGUGGGGUUUUCCAACCACAAAGCGUGGGGGCUUUGGAGUCUGACGUGCUCCUCGGCGUGGCCACAUGUGCCUCUUUCUCCACUCCUGGCCAUCAGCUGCCCUCAAGAAGUCAGCCACCCCUGCAGACGGACAAUGAGUACGCAAAGCCAGGGAGGAAGGGCUUUGUCGGGGGAGCUUGGCGUAGGCGUCCACUUCGUCAGGGCCUCAGCUCUUGCCUGGUGAUUCCUGUGGGCUGAUGUACCCAUCACGGGGCACAGAGUGGGACGCCUGCCAUGCCGUCCUCCCUGCAAACCACAGCCAACGUCCAGGCCCCGCCUUUCACUCGAAGCUCAGUCCUUGUUCUGCCCGGGGGAUCUGGUGCAUCCUGCUGUGUCCAAGGCCCUUGCUAUGGUCCCUGGAGUGGUCUCAGGGGCUGUGCCACACCGCAGGGGCCUCGGAUGGCCCCCAUGUCUCACUGAGCAGACAACCAAUUUUCAGUAUGCAGGUGACAAGCAAGAAGCGGCGUCACCCCUAAACCUUGAGUUUCUUUGCCAAGCAGGAAGCGGUGUCACCCCUAAACCUUGAAGUUCUCCAGUCCUGGGCGUCCCCACUGCCUCCUUCCGGGUCACGUGUUCACAGAGCUAGGGGAAGACCCAGAGACUCCAAUGUAUCCUCCAGGACCUGCAGAUGGGCAGAGGCAGAGGCAAGUCCAGCACCCGUGCGGUGCAGUGGAGACCCAGAGAUCAGGCCAGGUGCCUGCAUCUGUGCCGGCUAUGCCACCGCAGCAGCGCUGUCCCCAGACACCUGGAACCGUCUGCGUGCACAGGCUCGUGGCUGCCCUGGCGGAGGUGCCCCAUGCACCCCCUCAUCUGAUGUCAGGUACACUCCUGCCCCAGGCCAGUGCUGUUGCAAAGCUGGAGUUUGUGUUCAGGCUGAUUAUCUUGAACUUAGGCUAAUCUUCCA
Molecule: long non-coding RNA, 2524 nt
Filed under: Pan troglodytes (chimpanzee)
Lineage: Eukaryota; Metazoa; Chordata; Mammalia; Primates; Hominidae
Description: lncRNA (ENSPTRG00000053710.1)
Source: RNAcentral